This 358-nucleotide unclassified non-coding RNA is filed under the name soil metagenome. RNAcentral describes it as "partial contains 5.8S ribosomal RNA, internal transcribed spacer 2, and large subunit ribosomal RNA". The stretch from base 1 to 120 matches the Rfam family "5.8S ribosomal RNA", at positions 35 to 154 of the family's 154-position model. The record is from RNAcentral.
GAUGAAGAACGUAGCGAAAUGCGAUACGUAAUGUGAAUUGCAGAAUUCAGUGAAUCAUCGAGUCUUUGAACGCACAUUGCGCCCCCUGGUAUUCCGGGGGGCAUGCCUGUCCGAGCGUCAUUACGCCCCUCAAGUCCCCUGUGGACUUGGUGUUGGGGAUCGGCGAGGCUGGUUUUCCAGCACAGCCGUCCCUUAAAUUAAUUGGCGGUCUCGCCGUGGCCCUCCUCUGCGCAGUAGUAAAACACUCGCAACAGGAGCCCGGCGCGGUCCACUGCCGUAAAACCCCCCAACUUUUUAUAGUUGACCUCGAAUCAGGUAGGACUACCCGCUGAACUUAAGCAUAUCAAUAAGCGGAGGA